This 253-nucleotide ribosomal RNA is filed under the name uncultured bacterium. Its description in RNAcentral is "partial 16S ribosomal RNA". It matches the Rfam family "Bacterial small subunit ribosomal RNA", at positions 524 to 776 of the family's 1533-position model. The record is from RNAcentral.
UACGAAGGGUGCGAGCGUUACUCGGAAUUACUGGGCGUAAAGCGUGCGUAGGUGGUUGUUUAAGUCUGUCGUGAAAGCCCUGGGCUCAACCUGGGAAUUGCGAUGGAUACUGGGCGACUAGAGUGUGGUAGAGGACAGUGGAAUUUCCGGUGUAGCAGUGAAAUGCGUAGAGAUCGGAAGGAACAUCUGUGGCGAAGGCGACUGUCUGGGCCAACACUGACACUGAGGCACGAAAGCGUGGGGAGCAAACAGG